UGGGGAAUAUUGCACAAUGGGGGAAACCCUGAUGCAGCGACGCCGCGUGAACGAAGAAGUUAUUCGUAUCGUAAAGUUCUGUCCUAUGGGAAGAUAAUGACAGUACCAUAGAAGAAAGCUCCGGCUAAAUACGUGCCAGCAGCCGCGGUAAUACGUAUGGAGCGAGCGUUGUCCGGAAUUAUUGGGCGUAAAGGGUACGCAGGCGGUUUAAUAAGUCGAAAGUUAAAGAUCGGGGCUCAACCCCGUAAAGCAUUAGAAACUGAUAAACUUGAGUAGUGGAGAGGAAAGUGGAAUUCCUAGUGUAGUGGUAAAAUACGUAGAUAUUAGGAGGAAUACCAGUAGCGAAGGCGACUUUCUGGACACAAACUGACGCUGAGGUACGAAAGCGUGGGGAGCAAACAGG
RNAcentral lists this ribosomal RNA (403 nucleotides) under bacterium. RNAcentral's name for it is "partial 16S ribosomal RNA". It matches the Rfam family "Bacterial small subunit ribosomal RNA", at positions 355 to 776 of the family's 1533-position model. The record is from RNAcentral.